This 468-nucleotide ribosomal RNA is filed under the name uncultured bacterium. RNAcentral's name for it is "partial 16S ribosomal RNA". It matches the Rfam family "Bacterial small subunit ribosomal RNA", at positions 28 to 507 of the family's 1533-position model. The record is from RNAcentral.
GACGAACGCUGGCGGCGUGCUUAACACAUGCAAGUCGAACGGAAAGGCCCUGCUUUUGUGGGGUGCUCGAGUGGCGAACGGGUGAGUAACACGUGAGUAACCUGCCCUUGACUUUGGGAUAACUUCAGGAAACUGGGGCUAAUACCGGAUAGGAGCUCCUGCUGCAUGGUGGGGGUGGGAAAGUUUCGGCGGUUGGGGAUGGACUCGCGGCUUAUAAGCUUGUUGGUGGGGUAGUGGCUUACCAAGGCUUUGACGGGUAGCCGGCCUGAGAGGGUGACCGGCCACAUUGGGACUGAGAUACGGCCCAGACUCCUACGGGAGGCAGCAGUGGGGAAUAUUGCACAAUGGGCGGAAGCCUGAUGCAGCAACGCCGCGUGCGGGAUGACGGCCUUCGGGUUGUAAACCGCUUUCGCCUGUGACGAAGCGUGAGUGACGGUAAUGGGUAAAGAAGCACCGGCUAACUACGUG